UACGGAGGAUGCGAGAGUUAUCCGGAUUUAUUGGGUUUAAAGGGUGCGCAGGCGGAAUGUCAAGUCAGCGGUAAAAUUUCGGGGCUCAACCCCGUCGUGCCGUUGAAACUGGGGAUCUUGAGUGGGCGAGAAGUAUGCGGAAUGUGUGGUGUAGCGGUGAAAUGCUUAGAUAUCACACAGAACACCGAUUGCGAAGGCAGCUUUCCAAGCUAUUACUGACGCUGAGGCACGAAAGCGUGGGGAGCGAACAGG
This 252-nucleotide ribosomal RNA is filed under the name uncultured Bacteroidales bacterium. RNAcentral describes it as "partial 16S ribosomal RNA". It matches the Rfam family "Bacterial small subunit ribosomal RNA", at positions 524 to 776 of the family's 1533-position model. The record is from RNAcentral. Lineage: Bacteria; Pseudomonadati; Bacteroidota; Bacteroidia; Bacteroidales.